Molecule: ribosomal RNA, 254 nt
Filed under: uncultured bacterium
Lineage: Bacteria
Description: partial 16S ribosomal RNA
Rfam family: Bacterial small subunit ribosomal RNA
Source: RNAcentral
UACGUAGGGGGCUAGCGUUGUCCGGAAUCAUUGGGCGUAAAGGGCGCGUAGGUGGCCCGGUCAGUCCGUGGUGAAAGCGCGGGGCUCAACCCUGCGUCGGCCAUGGAUACUGCCGCGGCUCGAGCACUGUAGAGGCAGGCGGAAUUCCGGGUGUAGCGGUGGAAUGCGUAGAGAUCCGGAAGAACACCGGUGGCGAAGGCGGCCUGCUGGGCAGUUGCUGACACUGAGGCGCGACAGCGUGGGGAGCAAACAGG